Non-coding RNA from Arachis ipaensis, 385 nucleotides. Lineage: Eukaryota; Viridiplantae; Streptophyta; Magnoliopsida; Fabales; Fabaceae. The record is from RefSeq and is a predicted model, not a curated record.
GUUUAUUUAUCGCGAGUUGCCGCCGCCAGGGCCACCACCAGAGCUACUGCCGGUCAGUUCAGCCGUUCUUCUUUAUUACAAUAGGUUUGAGUUCUGUAUUUUGCAUGUCGCUUUUAAUUUGCUGUGAUUGCUGCGAAAGUGAUCAGAGGCUGAGGUUUCGGUUGCUAUUGGCUUCGAGCUGAAAGAAAAGAGCUCUGUUUGCGCGCUUGGUUUAUGAUUUUGCUUGUCGAGGGAUGGCAGUUUUAUCCCGCCUGCAGUGAGAAUGGUGGUUUUAUCCCGCUCACGUAUUGAUAAAUUGUUUAGCAAGGACGGUGGCGUGAUCCUGCUUGCAUAUUAUUUUGUGUGCCCAGUAAGGAUGGUGGUUUAAUCCCGCUUACUGUGGAGG